Non-coding RNA from Mycena floridula, 93 nucleotides. The record is from the annotation of a GenBank genome assembly. NCBI's taxonomy places the organism in Eukaryota, Fungi, Basidiomycota, Agaricomycetes, Agaricales, Mycenaceae.
GCAUUAAUGGGGUAGUGGUAACCUGGGUUGUUGCCAUAUCCUCGUCUGAAAAGAUCGCUCGACCCGCCGGGGGUUUGAUUCCCUCUUAAUGCA